AAAAAGGUAAACCCUAGAUUUCCGUGUCCAACUUUGAUUGUCCAUCUUAUAUGAAAUUUUUUUAUAAUUCGUAUUUUUAUUGUUGUUAGAUGAUAAAACAUGAUUAAUAUUUUAUGCGUGACUUGUCUUUUUAAUUUUUUUCAUAAUUUUUUCAAAUAAGACAGACGGUCAAACGUUGGACACGGAAACCAGGGUUUGUCUUUUU
Oryza glumipatula is the source of this 205-nucleotide non-coding RNA. NCBI's taxonomy places the organism in Eukaryota, Viridiplantae, Streptophyta, Magnoliopsida, Poales, Poaceae. The record is from Rfam.